This 1391-nucleotide long non-coding RNA is filed under the name Macaca fascicularis (crab-eating macaque). RNAcentral describes it as "lncRNA (ENSMFAG00000064639.1)". Lineage: Eukaryota; Metazoa; Chordata; Mammalia; Primates; Cercopithecidae. The record is from RNAcentral.
AGCUUAAACAACAGAAAUUUAUUUUCUCACCAUUCUGAAGGUUAGAAGUCCACCAUCAAAAGUGCCAAGAUGGGCCAGGCACAGUGGCAGUGGCUCAUGACUGUAAUCCCUGCACUGUGGGAGGCCAAAGCAGUAGGAUCAUUUCAGCCCAGGAAUUUGAGACCAGCCUGGGCAAUGGCUCUACAAAAAAACAAAAAAGAGAAAGAAAUAAUUAGCUGGGUGUGGUGGCAGGUGCCUGUAGUCCCAGCUUCUUGGGAAGCUGAGCUGGGAGGAUCUCUCAAGCCUGGGAGGUCGAGGCUGCAGUGAGCCGUGAUCAUGACACUGCACUCUAUCCUGGGCAACAAGCAAGACCCUGCCUCAAAAAAAAAAAAAAAAAAAAAGUGCCAAGAUAGUCACUUUCUGGUGAGGGCUUUGUUUGUGGCUUGCAACCAGCCAGCCGCCUUCUUACUGUGUGACACAGAGAGACAAAGAGAGGUCCUUUUCUCUUCUUCUAAGGCUAUACUCCUAUCGGAUUAUGAUCUUACUUAACCUUUUUUUCUUCUUCUUAUUUUUUGAGAUGGAGUCUCACUCUGUCACCCAGGCUACAGUGCAGUGGCACAAUCUUGGCUCAAUGCAACCUCUGUCUCCUAAGUUCAAGCAAUUCUCCUGCCUCAGCCUCCCAAGUAGCUGAGACUACAGGCACACAACAUCACACCCAGCUGAUUUUUCUAUUUUUAGUAGAGACAGGGUUUCACCAGUUUGGCCAAGCUUGUCUCGAACUCCUGACCUCAGGUGAUCCACCCACCUUGGUCUCCCAAAGUGCUGGGAUUACAGGCAUGAGCCACCACACCUGGCCUCAUUUAACCUUAAUUACCUCCUAAAGACCCCACCUUCAGAUACAGUCACAUUUAGGGUUGGGACUUAACACAGGAAUUUGCGGGGGACACAAUUCAUUCCAUAGCAACAUCCAAUUCUAAAUCCAAGAUAUUGGGGUGACAUGUUUUCCUCCUCUAGUUGUAUUGUAAUCUUAUGUCUCUAUUUUCUAACACCUGGUAACUACCACCAACACACCUGAUUGGUCAGAGUAGGCUAGGUAAUGCUGUAAUAACAAAUGACAUCCUAAUCUGAGGAGCAUAAUGCAACAAAAUUCUAUUCCCCAUGCGUGCCAAGCCUGCUGUGGGUCCAGGCAAGUCUCCAGCACAGCUGUAGUCCAUGUGGCAGCUCAAGUUUUCAAGUGUUUUGAUCUUUUGCCGUGCUUCUUCAUCUCAACACAGGCUUCCAUGGUCGCUCCAGUUAAGGAAGACAACAAGGGAAAUUCUUGCUUAAAUGUUUUUGUCCACAAGUGACAUAUGCCAUUUCUGUUCACAUUUCAUUGGCCAAAGUGGGUCACACAGCCAUGCCUAACUUCGAGG